GACGAACGCUGGCGGCGUGCUUAACACAUGCAAGUCGAACGCUGAAGCUUGGUGCUUGUACUGUGUGGAUGAGUGGCGAACGGGUGAGUAACACGUGUGGAAUCUGCCUUUGAUUGGGGGAUAAGCUUGGGAAACUGGUUCUAAUACCGGAUACGAACUGUCACCGCAUGGUGGUAUGUGGAAAGGCGUUUAUUGGUUAUGGAUGGGCGGACGGCCUAUGUGCUUGCUGGUGGGGUAAUUGACUACCAAGGCGACGGCGGGUAGCCGGCCUGAGUGUGUGACCGGCCACACUGGGACUGAGAGACGACCCAGACUGCUACGGGAGGCAGCAGUGGGGAAUAGUGCACAAUGGGCGGCAGCCUGAUGCAGCGACGCCGGGUGAGGGAUGACGGCCUUCGGGUUGUAAACCUCUUUCGGCUGGGAAGAAGCGAGAGUGACGGUAAGUGCAGAAGAAGCGACGGCUAACUACGUG
This 472-nucleotide ribosomal RNA is filed under the name uncultured bacterium. RNAcentral describes it as "partial 16S ribosomal RNA". It matches the Rfam family "Bacterial small subunit ribosomal RNA", at positions 28 to 507 of the family's 1533-position model. The record is from RNAcentral.